Molecule: unclassified non-coding RNA, 391 nt
Filed under: uncultured Inocybe
Lineage: Eukaryota; Fungi; Basidiomycota; Agaricomycetes; Agaricales; Cortinariaceae
Description: sequence contains ITS2
Rfam family: 5.8S ribosomal RNA (bases 1-154)
Source: RNAcentral
AACUUUUGACAAUGGAUCUCUUGGCUCUCGCAUCGAUGAAGAUCGCAGCGAAAUGCGAUAAGUAAUGUGAAUUGCAGAAUUCAGUGCAUCAUCGAAUCUUUGAACGCAUCUUGCGCUCCUUGGUAUUCCGAGGAGCAUGGCUGUUUGAGUGUCAUUUAACUUGUCAACCAUGCAUAUGUGCGCAUGGCUUGGAUAGUGGGUGGUUUGCAGGCUUUUUAUAAAGUCGGCUCCCCUGAAAUGAAUUAGUAGUGUCUGAGAUUACUACAGGUGUGAUAAAUCAUCUACAUCUUUUGGUACUUGCAAGAACUGCUUUAUAUUAUUGUUUGAAAAAUUUGACCUCAAAUCAGGUAGGACUACCCGCUGAACUUAAGCAUAUCAAUAAGCGGAGGCU